AAAGUCCCAAAUUUUCUAUACUACAAUUGGAACAAUACAGAGAAGAUUGGCGUGGCCCCUGCACAAAGAUGACAUGCAAAUUUGUGAUGUGUUCCAUAUUUAC
Small nuclear RNA from Nycticebus coucang (slow loris), 103 nucleotides. The record is from RefSeq and is a predicted model, not a curated record. Lineage: Eukaryota; Metazoa; Chordata; Mammalia; Primates; Lorisidae.